ACCGACUUCGUUGGUUCACAUACUAUAGUUAUCUAAAUCAACCUUAACAAAUGAUUAUUAAUAUCAUUCAGAUCUGAAAUAAUUACACUCAUGUACUCAUGAACAUGAUAAAAUUUCAACAUUACAACUUCCUUUGAUCUUCUCAUCCCCUAUGAAGAGUAAUAUGUAUCAUAGGAUAUCCUUAAUACAACAGUUUAAAAUUGCAACUUCUUAUCCAAAGUGGAGGUAGCUAUUUCGCUUUUUGCAUUCUGGGUACUAUGUUAGCUUGCUGCCAUUUCAUUAAUUUGACACCUGACAUAGCAUAGAGACAAAAUUAGUGAAUGGUUAGUGAACAUUGCAACAAUUUUCUAUAAUUUUAUUUGUAAGUUCUAAACAUUAGAGCUAUUCUCAUUUAUAGUUCUGUAAGUAUAAAGAAAAUGUUAUUCUAGUCUCACAAAAUAUUGAAACUUAUUGAGUAAUGUGCUAAAAAUAAAUUUACAUUAAAAUUUUCGUUAAUUAAAUACAACUCGAGGGAACCACAAUAUAUAUCCAACAUCCGUAUGUAAUCUAGAUAUAGAGGGAAAGGAAGUGUAGAAUCGCAUUUUAUCUUGAUUUCAUCAGAAUCUGAAAUAUAAACUAAUCAUUUCACUACAUUAGUCAGUUAUUUGUUAGAAUUUCCACUAAUGAGUUUGUAUGAAAAUUAUAUUAGCUUAUAUAAAAACUACAUGGAAGGAUUGUAUAAGCAAUUGACACUGAGAUAUAAAAUCAUAAUUUAAAGGUUAAACUCUAACAAACUAAGGAUAUCCUCAUAAUAUUUUGAAAGACUCAAAACAUGUAGUAUUUUGUUCCAAAAAAUAAACUUGUUUACUAAAUACCUCCGCCACUCUUCACUUUUUGACAGUAUAUCCCCUUUAGACACAUAAUAAGUCCGUUUGCUUUUCAAUUUCUACCUAGAACUCAUUUAUCAAAAGUAGAUCUAAGAGUUCUCUGAAAGCUGAUCAAAAUUUCCACACAGAGAUAUCAGAAAUAUAAAUACGUCUGUCGAAGCUCGAGAUAUGGGAAAAAACUUCUGAAUGAAACCGCCAUAAACUUUGCAUUAUUAAAUAAAAAUAAUGAGCUAAGCAAACAAUUGUGUCACAGUGAAUUACAGUAGCUCAAAAAAGAUGAUGAGAGAGUAUCACAUUACACCAUUACUGUGGCCAUAAAUUCAUUAAUUUGAAAAAAAGAUGUACCAAAAUAAGAUCUACAUGCCAGAAAAUGAAUUUACAUAUUUUACUCCACAAGGAGUCCCAUAGUUUCGUGCUUAGAUGAUGCGUUCGUAUAUGAAUUCUUUCUCCGUUGUUUGGAAGAUUAAAAUAUAUGAAGUUGUUCCGUAAAUUAUUUCAAUAAAAUAAAAGAGACAGAGAUGUUGUACCGGAAUAUUAAACUCGUAACCAAACACACACUUAACAGUUCUUAUAGUACAAUCAAGUUUGAUAUUUCCUCCUCUAUCCAACAUUCAAAGAUUUCUCCAAGUAAUUAAAUUUUUCUUAAUCAAUUCGUCAUUUCUGCAUAAAAUCUACCCUUUCCAAACUUCACUUUGUAAGAUUAUAACGGAUAUGUUGUUAUUGUUGACGCAAAAGUUCAAAGUUGCGUUUUGAAAGUCUCUUAUGUUUAACACUGGAUAAUGUACAUGUAAAAGAAAGUUAAAACAACUACAAAUACACAACUGUCCAUAAUAUAACACUUAUUAUAAAGUCUCUUAUGUUUAACACUGGAUAAUGUACAUGUAAAAGAAAGUUAAAACAACUAUAAAUACACAACUGUCCAUAAUAUAACACUUAUUAUGAAUCACAUGAGAAUAGUUAAUAAUUAUCAUAUGAAGUGGCCAAUAAACAACUUUCUUAAUCUAGUUGAAAUACAAUUAAGAAAUUGAUAACAAACUUGAAGCAAAAUUAUGAGAAAAAAUAAGAAUCUAAAUUGCUUGAAAGGCAAUUUAGAUAUAAAGCAAUCUAUCAGGUCUUGUGAAACUUGAUUUGUUUGUCUAUGACUUAGGUAAAAAGUAGUAGUAGAAUUCCAUACCUCUUAAAAUAAUAGAGAACUUUUGGGGAUCUUUCUCCUAAGACAUUAUAAAAAAAUUGAGUAAGGAAAAGUUUGUAAUUGAAAAAUAUUAGGUAUCACACCAAAGACAUAUCUAAACACAAACAAAAGAAGACUACCAAAAAAAACAUUGAGAUGUAGACCAUUCACUUGAACAUAUAUUUGUGUUACACGUCAGUUAUCAACUUGUCUACUUUGUAGUUAAUUGGAAGAAACAAUUUGAUAAGGACUUAAUUAGUCGAGUUCUUCGUCCUUUGAAAUCUCCAAAUUAAGCGAAUAAAAGUCUUUGUGGAUGAGUCAUCUUCACCACCCGUUCUCUAUUGGUCAUUGGAAUUGCUUAACUCUAUGGAAUUCAAAUAGAACAAAGAAUGGGAUCAAAGUUGAAAGGUAUGCAGAACGUCGGAAAAGGUUUAACAAUAUAAUAUUGCAAACUUGAUCAUUUCUUAGUUCUGAAUGAAAUUGUAAUUUGAAAGCAAACAAUACAGAAUAAAGAAGAGAAUUAGGAAUAUCAAAAGUCCAUAUCUUACCUCACAAUCUAGCCAGUAAUUAAUUGUGAUUCGUCACUGAAAUUCGAGUAAACCACUUCCUAAUAAGAAGUUGAUCUUGUUGAAUCU
RNAcentral lists this long non-coding RNA (2672 nucleotides) under Capsicum annuum. Its description in RNAcentral is "long non-coding RNA (CANN_LNC007365)". The record is from RNAcentral. Lineage: Eukaryota; Viridiplantae; Streptophyta; Magnoliopsida; Solanales; Solanaceae.